This 72-nucleotide transfer RNA is filed under the name Candidatus Wildermuthbacteria bacterium. RNAcentral's name for it is "tRNA-Pro". It matches the Rfam family "tRNA". From Rfam's summary of the family: Transfer RNA (tRNA) molecules are approximately 80 nucleotides in length. Their secondary structure includes four short double-helical elements and three loops (D, anti-codon, and T loops). Lineage: Bacteria; Candidatus Wildermuthiibacteriota. The record is from RNAcentral.
CGGGCCAUAGGAUAAUGGUAGUCCAUACCCUUGGGGUGGGUAAGGCGGCAGUUCGAUUUCUGCCUGGCCCGA